This 332-nucleotide unclassified non-coding RNA is filed under the name soil metagenome. Its description in RNAcentral is "partial contains 5.8S ribosomal RNA, internal transcribed spacer 2, and large subunit ribosomal RNA". The stretch from base 1 to 120 matches the Rfam family "5.8S ribosomal RNA", at positions 35 to 154 of the family's 154-position model. The record is from RNAcentral.
GAUGAAGAACGCAGCGAAAUGCGAUAAGUAAUGUGAAUUGCAGAAUUCAGUGAAUCAUCGAAUCUUUGAACGCACAUUGCGCCCGCCAGUAUUCUGGCGGGCAUGCCUGUUCGAGCGUCAUUUCAACCAUCAAGCCCCGGGCUUGUGUUGGGGACCUGCGGCUGCCGCAGGCCCUGAAAUGCAGUGGCGGGCUCGCUGUCACUCCGAGCGUAGUAGUUACAUCUCGCUCUGGGCGUGCUGCGGGUUCCGGCCGUUAAAAGCCUUAUUUACCCAAGGUUGACCUCGGAUCAGGUAGGAAGACCCGCUGAACUUAAGCAUAUCAAUAAGGAGGA